Molecule: long non-coding RNA, 1065 nt
Organism: Gadus chalcogrammus (walleye pollock)
Lineage: Eukaryota; Metazoa; Chordata; Actinopteri; Gadiformes; Gadidae
Exons: 3
Source: RefSeq, a predicted model, not a curated record
GUUAUGCAACUACACUGUCAAACACAUGUCUGCGUGUUUAUGUUUAUUCGACACUUAGGCUACACGUCACUUUGCGUGGUUAUCGCUACUACAUAGCGAUUAGGGGAAUGAUUCCCUACCAACUCACUAACGGGCAAACGAACGACCAUCGAAACGAACUAAUGAUGCUGCGGCCAGCGGGGGCUUGACCGAGGGAACGGGGAUGCAGCCGCAGGUGUGAGAAAUACUUCCGCUUGGUUACCACUUUGUUCCACGGGACCCAUGUUGCCCUGACGUGAGCCCGGCUGAGGAAGACGAUGAAGAGGCCGAUGGUGAGAACCCAGCAGAGGAUGGCCACAAACAUCACCCAGCCCAACGCAGGCACGCUGGAGUACUCCGUCCCACCGAUCAGAACCCAGACCAGAAGACCGCACGUCUGGAAGAGAGGGGCGGAGGUGGUUCCCGAGGGCUGGAUGGCCUACAGCUUGGAUAUGGUCGUGGCGGGAGGUCAAGGUCUUCAGCAGAAAUCGAUGAAGCAAUUGAGAGAAAGGAGUACGAGGGAGACAGCAUGCUUUUCCAUUAUUUUCAUUUUUGUUGUUUUCCGUGCUUGAAAUGAAACCCGGGCUGAUUCAAUUGACAACCAUAGAUUUAUCGAGAACAGAAUACAUAGAAAAUGUCGAGGUACUCCUCAAGCAGUACCUUCUUAAAGCGAUGAUUCUCCCAACUGCCACGCCUACUCAUAUUUAUCUAAAACAUCAAUUUGUUCUGCUCAUGCUGUCCCUUUGCAACAGGCUAGACAAGAGAGUGUGAGCUAGUACCACAUAAGAGUCAUAUUGCACCCUGAGUACUCGAUCACAUUCACAUAGUGUCUCUCUGAAGCUGUUCAUCCUGCCUUCCAUCUGCUACACACUGACCCUAUGUCUGGCUGGUUGUCAUGGCGUCGCAUGACCGAACCCUAUCCAAACUAAUAGUGUGCAUGAAGAAGAUUACUUAAAGGGCAAGGAGUAGAAGUGACCGAACGCUUGCAUUUUCUCUCUCUCUCUCUCUCUCUCUCUCUCUCUCUCUCUCUCUCUCUCUCUCUCUCUC